AUUGAACGCUGGCGGCAGGCCUAACACAUGCAAGUCGAGCGGAUGAAGGGAGCUUGCUCCUGGAUUCAGCGGCGGACGGGUGAGUAAUGCCUAGGAAUCUGCCUGGUAGUGGGGGAUAACGUCCGGAAACGGGCGCUAAUACCGCAUACGUCCUGAGGGAGAAAGUGGGGGAUCUUCGGACCUCACGCUAUCAGAUGAGCCUAGGUCGGAUUAGCUAGUUGGUGGGGUAAAGGCCUACCAAGGCGACGAUCCGUAACUGGUCUGAGAGGAUGAUCAGUCACACUGGAACUGAGACACGGUCCAGGCUCCUACGGGAGGCAGCAGUGGGGAAUAUUGGACAAUGGGCGAAAGCCUGAUCCAGCCAUGCCGCGUGUGUGAAGAAGGUCUUCGGAUUGUAAAGCACUUUAAGUUGGGAGGAAGGGCAGUAAGUUAAUACCUUGCUGUUGUGACGUUACCAACAGAAUAAGCACCGGCUAACUUCGUG
This 484-nucleotide ribosomal RNA is filed under the name uncultured bacterium. Its description in RNAcentral is "partial 16S ribosomal RNA". It matches the Rfam family "Bacterial small subunit ribosomal RNA", at positions 30 to 507 of the family's 1533-position model. The record is from RNAcentral.